RNAcentral lists this ribosomal RNA (402 nucleotides) under uncultured bacterium. Its description in RNAcentral is "bacterial SSU rRNA". It matches the Rfam family "Bacterial small subunit ribosomal RNA", at positions 100 to 520 of the family's 1533-position model. The record is from RNAcentral.
GACGGGUGAGUAACUACGUGGAAACAUACCCUUUCGCGUUCGGAACAACAUCAUGUGGCAACACUUGUGCUAAUAUCCGGAUAAUGCCCUCUACGUGGGAAAGAUUUAUCUGCCGAAGGAUUGGCUCCUGCUGUCUGAUUAGUCUAGUUACGUGGGGUAACGGCCCACCUAAGGCUACGAUCAGUAGCUGGUCUGAGAGGAUUAUCAGCCACAGCUGGGACUGAGACAGGGUCCAAAUUCAUAGGGAGGCAGAGUAAGGAAUCUUGGACAAUGGGCGCAAGCCUGAUCCAGCCAUGCCGCGUGAGUGAUGAAGGCCUUAGGGUUGUAAAGCUCUUUCAGCGGGGAAGAUAAUGACGGUACCCGCAGAAGAAGCCCCGGCUAACUUCGUGCCAGCAGCCGCGG